Non-coding RNA from Podarcis raffonei (Aeolian wall lizard), 77 nucleotides. NCBI's taxonomy places the organism in Eukaryota, Metazoa, Chordata, Lepidosauria, Squamata, Lacertidae. The record is from the annotation of a RefSeq genome assembly.
GCUCACUGUGAUAGCUCAGUCGGUAGAGCAUGAGACUCCUAAUCCCAGGGUCCUGGGUUCAAGUCCCAGGUUGAGCA